UGGGGAAUUUUGGACAAUGGGGGAAACCCUGAUCCAGCCAUCCCGCGUGUGCGAUGAAGGCCUUCGGGUUGUAAAGCACUUUUGGCAGGAAAGAAACGUCGCGGGUUAAUACCCCGCGAAACUGACGGUACCUGCAGAAUAAGCACCGGCUAACUACGUGCCAGCAGCCGCGGUAAUACGUAGGGUGCAAGCGUUAAUCGGAAUUACUGGGCGUAAAGCGUGCGCAGGCGGUUCGGAAAGAAAGAUGUGAAAUCCCAGAGCUUAACUUUGGAACUGCAUUUUUAACUACCGGGCUAGAGUGUGUCAGAGGGAGGUGGAAUUCCGCGUGUAGCAGUGAAAUGCGUAGAUAUGCGGAGGAACACCGAUGGCGAAGGCAGCCUCCUGGGAUAACACUGACGCUCAUGCACGAAAGCGUGGGGAGCAAAACAGGAUUAGAUACCCUGGUAGUCCACGCCCUAAAACGAUGUCAACUAGCUGUUGGGGCCUUCGGGCCUUGGUAGCGCAGCUAACGCGUGAAGUUGACCGCCUGGGGAGUACGGUCGCAAGAUUAAAACUUAAAAGGAAUUAGAACGGGGGUGCAUAGCUGUUU
RNAcentral lists this ribosomal RNA (589 nucleotides) under uncultured bacterium. Its description in RNAcentral is "partial 16S ribosomal RNA". It matches the Rfam family "Bacterial small subunit ribosomal RNA", at positions 355 to 934 of the family's 1533-position model. The record is from RNAcentral.